UUAAGGGAUUAAAAAUAAAAUGUUUAAAUUGGGAGAACCCGAAACUCCAUGUUCUUCCGGCGAGAGUAUACGGUGAGAGAGAAUCGAAGAAAUAUGAAUCUGGCGAACCCAAUCGAAUCUGAAGCGGAAGUGAAACAUAAUUUGAAAUCAAGGAAUCAGAGGUGAAUCAUUAGUGAAAAAUUUGCGUUGGCGACAUCAGAGGCGAACGACGAGCUCUGGUUCAGAUCUCGUCGAAGAUCUUCGAGCUCUGGUUCAGAAAGAUGAUCAAGCCAAAGCUUCGUUUUCAUCUGGUUUUGAGAUCAUGCUUCUUCAAGUGUUUUAAGGAUGAUGAUAGUUUUGUGUACUGAUUAGUAGAAUGGGAUCCAAUUUGGCUCGAUUUCUAUGAUUCUAAGGCUGCCAAGGUUGUUUAGAUUUUUCAUUUCAUAGUUCCCCAUAGAAAUGAUAGUUCUGCUGUAAGAUUCUCCGAGAAUUUGAUGUUGAAAGUAACGUUGCUUGAUCACAGUCACAUUACAAUUUUUUUUUUUUCAUCUAGGUUUGCUUUAAUCACUAGUUGUGGUUGAAUCUGGUCACAUUGGUAGAUGGGUUGCAGAAGUCUACUAGAUAAUUUAUAUUUUUGGUUUCUUCCUUACUGUUGGUAAGAGGAUCCUCGAAGGUGAACUUCUAGUUUAAAGAGUUAUGGGCACAUGAAUAUUCUAAACUCUACCAUGGAAAAUUAUUGUUGAAUGCUUCAUUCUUCGGUACCUUAUUUCAUCAUGAGUGUCUCACAUUUGCAGGUUUUUGACAUGAACGUAAAAGUAGUUACACCAGGAGAUGUGGGCGCUAGUGCAAGGGAUGGGACAAGUCUAGAAGAUGGGAUCCAAGCCAUAAGAAGGAAUCCAAGCUGGAUUUAUUUGGUUUUGAUUCUCUUGUGAAGGACAUAAUCUUGGUUUGAAGAGGUUCAUCUUAUGAUGUGAUGCUUGUUAACGAAAUUGAAACCUGUAAGUUAAGAUAGAUGGUCAGCAGUAACUAUUGCAUCAAGAAAAUGUAUGAUGUGUAGUGAUAAUGGUGAAAUUCAGGAAGGAUUACAAGAAAUUCAGGAAGGGUUCUUUAAAUUCAUGAUGAGCUUCAUAACAAGUUUAGAUUUCAUGAUGACUUUAAUAAAAAAUCUGGAUAUUGCUAAAGACCAUGAUAGCAUAAAAAUGAAACCAUUACCCUGUACUAAUGAAACUUUUUUUUUGUAUUUUACAAUUAUUUUUAGUAAUGCUGAGAUUUUAUGUUGAA
Molecule: non-coding RNA, 1260 nt
Organism: Camelina sativa (false flax)
Lineage: Eukaryota; Viridiplantae; Streptophyta; Magnoliopsida; Brassicales; Brassicaceae
Source: RefSeq, a predicted model, not a curated record